AGCGACUAACCCUAACUCCACCAGAAUUCGAACCGCCCACAACCCCCUGAACUCCUAAGCAAAUACCACCACAGUCGCCACCCUCCCUUACACAAAGAGGCAGCGAUCAUUUCUCCAUCCUAAAAACCAACAACGAUCCCUUCUUCUUGGACCUCUAAAGAACGGCAGCCAUGACCCUACAAAGACACACAACCUAACGCCUCCAUUUCCUGUCCGGUGAGCUCGCCGGAAAACGAGCUACACCAGCCACCGACUACCCUGGUUCAUAACCCGCGUCUGAAAUUGUAGAGCUAGAAAAUAUUAAAGAAAAGGGAUUAAGAAGGAAUUUCUGAUUUGCUUCAAAUUCGUUCGAUUUGUCAUCUCUCGAAUUGUUGUGAUAUCGUUGUUCCUUCCGCCGGCGCAAGGCUCUGUUCGAGGUUCCAUUUCCGUUGGCAUCUCUAGUCGCGGCAAGUUUUAGGCCAGAUUCUCAUUUUGCUUUUUCGGCUAAACAGAAAUGUUACUCUGAGUUCCAUUAAUCGGAGAAUAAUUCGCUCAAGAAGGUCCAUUUCUUAUACCUAUCUCAUUAUGUUAGUUCAUGAAUUGUGUUAAUUGUUGAUGGUUCUUCUAUCCUUUGUUUGAUCAAUUUAGUCUGCCUGAUCAGUUCACUGCCUUGAUUUCAUGAUAAACCUUGAUGAAUGCUUUAGGUCAUUAUGUGGAUAACUGAAAUGAAAAUUGGAUAACAUUCAUCGUUGAAGGAUUCAGUGGGUGUUGGGAUAAUUAUUCUGAACUAACUGAAACGAACCGAGUUAAUGGAAAGACAAAGAACAGUUGAUGAUCUAGUGCUGCUUUAAAUUCAUUUUACUUACUUAAGCACCACUAGAGCAUGUUUAGGCCGACCAUCCCGGGUAGGCGAACCUUUAGGCGCGCUUUGAAUUUAUUAUCGUGAUUAUGUACACGUCAGCGUGACAUGACUACGGUCUCUAAAAUGAAUAUUCAUAGCUUGCUUUAGGCGCGACUUAAUCUAUCAUCGUGAUUGUGUACACGUUCGCAUGACAUAAUUAUGAUUUUUCUAAAAAUAAAUCGAGGUAUGCGUUCGCGCAACUUCGGCCAGACUUUCUUAAUAAUAAUAAUUCGUGAUUAAUUGUGGACACGUACGCGUGACAUGAUUCUUGACGCGCCAAAUGAAAUGGGUACACGUACGCGUGACUCGUUUCAAGAUAACUCCUUAAUUACGAAUAAUCAAGCAAUUAAAAGAGGUAAAAGGUAAAAAUAUACGUAGGUUCUAAAAUGAGUAAUUAGACAAUUUAAAUAAGUCAGGUAUGAUUAAAGUGACCGUGCUAAAACCACGGAACUCGGGAAUGCCUAACGCCUUCUUCCGGGUUAACAAAAUUCCUUACCCGGAUUUCUAUGUUUUGCGGACUGUAAAACAGAGUCAAACUUCCAAGAUUCGGGAUUUUAGUGACUUGGGACACCAUAAAUUAUCCCAAGUGGCGACUCUGAAUUUGAAUAAAUAUUCCUGUUUCGAUUAUUGUCACUUUAAUUGGAAAAACUCCCCUAUACCCUCUUUCGGGUAGAAAAAGGAGGUGUGAUAUUAAGUAAUAAAAGCAAAGUAAGAACAGUAGAGCUAAAAGACAAUGCUGAUGAACAGUAGGCGAAAAAGUAGAGAAUAUAUUCUUUGCUCAAUGAUAAGAUGAUGUUACAAAUGAUUAGGGUCCCCUUUAUAUAAUAGGGGAAUCCCUAAGUAAGGUAUAUUUCUCUUUACAGUAAGGAAUAUUCUUGGUACAAUUGUCUAACCGCCUAGUACGAAAUCAUACAAUCUUAUUCCGGGAUUUGCGCCAUGAUUUUGGGGACGUGGCAAGAAUCUAGUUUAUUCUGUUACAAACCCAUAACGGUACUAUUUCGGGGUCGAGCACACUCGGCCUCGGUAUUCCUCGAACUCCUAUCUCCGGGCAUUGCACUCUGUCUUCGAGCUCGAGUCUGGUCCACCGAUUUCGAACUCGAUCUCGCCCGGACUCGGUCCUAUAAAUCGGGGGCAUAUGAUUUUGACCGUAUACAGUGACAAAUCUAGGAUUUGAAGUUAAUGGGUGCUCGAUUGCCUUUAGCGUAGAUCUAACACUAGUCACAAAAUCAUAGUCGAGGUAUAUUUUGGAUUAAUUUGGUUUAUUAAUUAUAUUUUCUGUUCAUAAUCACUAAAGCGAAAUGAGUUCAAUCCGGUUUUUUGACAAGGUUAAAUUUUCUAUAUACACUAUCAAAAUAGAGAAAGGGGAUUGACACAGAUUUUUGAAUAUUUUACAACAACAAUACUAACAUAUCCAUUAUAGUCCCACAAAUGGAGUAUGAGAAAGGUAGUGUAUAUGUAGAUCUUAAUUACCCUUACUUGGCAAGGUAGAGAGGCUAUUUCCGAUAGAUUUUCGGCUUAAAAAAACGUGAAAAGAGAAAAAAGGAAGAAGACGAAGAAAAAGAAAGAAGAAGGAGAUAAAGGACGAUAAGGAAAAAGGGAGAAAAAGUAAAAGAUGAGGACGACAACAACAACAAAAAGUAAGAUUUUUGAAUAUUUUAAAACGUCAAAAUUGGGUCUAAGCUAUGAUACUCGUCGAUUUUCAUCUAUAGUAGUACUCUUCUAACUUUAUAUAAUAAUAUAAUAUCCAAAUUCAUGAGACGCUUUGAUAUCUCGGUAUACAAUUUCAACUAUUAGCUUUUUAUUUUUUUAAUAAAAGCAUAAAGUAAGGUAAUUGGAGUGUAUUAGUCAAUUUAGAAAUAAAAAGUUUAAAAAAAAAAUAUUUUAAGAACAAAUUGGCCUAACUAUUAACCUACUAGUCAAAGGAAUUAAGGAAGAAAUGCAAAUAUUAUGGAUAAAAGAUUCUUAGGUAUUAAAUUGCAAACCUACCUUCAGAACUGUUUCUCAUAAGUUGGAUAAUAAUUAAUUGAUUUUUGUUUUUAUUCACGCGUAAACUUAACGAGAGAAAUAUAAAUCUAGUUUGGCCAAAUUCAACCAUAACUGGGCAAAGUAAAGGAGAUAAAUAAAGAGCAAUGAAUGAAAAUCGAGAUGAAUGGGGCGGAAAGAACGGAAAGAAAGUGUAACAUGGAAGAGGGUACUAAAAUCUAUAGGCUACAAAAAGAGUUCGAAAAAUUGGAGAAAAAAUCAGUGCUUUAAAAUAGGAGAGCGGCAAUAAAAUUGGAAAAUAUUGAACAUUAUCGGACGACUUAUCAGAUUAUGUUGACUAACAAGUAAAAAAGCUGAAUAUGAAAUUAGUGAUGUUGGGUGGACUCGAACCGAUGCCCUUUGAGAGUAAAAGUGACUUCGAAACCAAAGCAGAGCUCAUUCACGUCAGGGGUGCUGAUGUAUUCUUUAUGAUCAAUUUGUAAGGAAUUUCCACAUAAUUAUCAGAGUUUCAACUGAAGUCCACAGUGAUAUACGUGGAUUUGCUGUUGUUUGGAAUUCAUUGGCCCGACUAUUCAAGAUUUGGGUCGCAUAUGGCCAUAAAAGGAAGCGCUCCCUAUUAGGAGACCACUGAUUAUCGGUGGAGAAUCUCAUCAAUCUCACCACACUUCUUGAUGGUGGUUCUUUAAGAUGUUACUCCUAUCUUUAAAAAAACAUGCACAUUUUAAAUUUUAAUUUAAUUUUUUAAUGAUUUUUUGACAUUUCUUAAAAGAUUUACAGUUAUAAUUAUCGACAAUAAAUAUACUUUUUAAGGUUUGUAUACGGUCAAAAUCAGGCUUGACCUGGAGCGAGGCAGGCCAAGGUUCAACCCUAUGUUAUAUUGGACCACGACGUAAAGUUAGACUGCCGAGCUCGAGACCUAGAGACCGAUCGAGACAGAGGUCGGCUAAGAUCGGAGUCAUGCAGGAAGGAAAUCGAGCAAGAUUGAGGAAAACUUACCGAGCCAAAUAACGGAAUACCAAAAUAUCUGCAACCGGGCGAGGAUCACGGCGGAAAUCUCGGCACGUAUCAAGAAGAGGCCGAUUAUUUAGCCAAUCAUGAGAUUUCCUUCUGUAUUUAGAAUUGUACCAUAAGUAGAAUUCCUCUACUAUAUAAAGGGGUUCUAAUCAUUUUGUAAGGAGGAUAUUCAUGCAUAACAAAGCAAUAUAUUACAUUUUCUCUCUUAAGCUCUGUUGUUCAGUUCAUACUUUUCAAUUAUACGUCCAUUCGGUUCGAGGGUGAUCUAGCUCGAGGGCCAAGCUGUGGUUUAUAUUGGUUUGCUCUAUUUUACAGUUAAAUUCUAACAUUAUUCUCGUAUUUGUUAGUUUGUGCCAAGUGAAAUCACAUAUCCUUAAAACAACUUAUAAAUUUAAUUGUUAUCCAAUUAAAAUGGUAAACAGUUUGGCGCCCACCGUGAGGCUAAGGAUAAUACUGAUUUUCUAGUACAAAUUUUCGUAACACGCAUUAUUUUACACUUGUUCUUUGAAGUGUCUUUGAUUAUAGGGUUAAAAAUGUCAAACUCUCAACACCUCAACACAUUGACAAUGAUCUCAGCCGCCACGACGAAAAUGAGAACAUCUUACUAGGA
This 4487-nucleotide long non-coding RNA is filed under the name Nicotiana tabacum (common tobacco). RNAcentral's name for it is "long non-coding RNA (NTAB_LNC002185)". The record is from RNAcentral. Lineage: Eukaryota; Viridiplantae; Streptophyta; Magnoliopsida; Solanales; Solanaceae.